Molecule: ribosomal RNA, 449 nt
Filed under: uncultured bacterium
Lineage: Bacteria
Description: bacterial SSU rRNA
Rfam family: Bacterial small subunit ribosomal RNA
Source: RNAcentral
GUCCAGACUCCUACGGGAGGCAGCAGUGGGGGAUAUUGCACAAUGGGGGAAACCCUGAUGCAGCGACGCCGCGUGUGGGAAGGCGGUCCUCUGGAUUGUAAACCACUGUCCCCAGGGACGAAGAUGACGGUACCUGGGGAGGAAGCUCCGGCUAACUAUGUGCCAGCAGCCGCGGUAAUACGUAGGGGGCAAGCGUUAUCCGGAUUUACUGGGUGUAAAGGGAGCGUAGACGGUGAGACAAGUCUGAAGUGAAAGCCCGGGGCUCAACCCCGGGACUGCUUUGGAAACUGCCUGACUGGAGUGCUGGAGAGGCAAGCGGAAUUCCUAGUGUAGCGGUGAAAUGCGUAGAUAUUAGGAAGAACACCAGUGGCGAAGGCGGCUUGCUGGACUGUAACCGACGUUGAGGCUCGAAAGCGUGGGGAGCAAACAGGAUUAGAUACCCGGGUACU